This 313-nucleotide long non-coding RNA is filed under the name Haliotis rufescens (red abalone). RNAcentral's name for it is "uncharacterized LOC124118862, transcript variant X2". Lineage: Eukaryota; Metazoa; Mollusca; Gastropoda; Lepetellida; Haliotidae. The record is from RNAcentral.
CUUUAACAAAGUUUAAACCUGCCCAUUCCCUGGUGCUGUGGUCGAGUUAGACACACACUCCCACCCCAGUCAGCAGGCUCCUAUACAGGAUAUACUCCGUGGAUGUAAUUCCUUAUAAAGCAUCGUGCGAUGGAUUCCUGUGUCCUGACUCGAUCUAUGGGGAAGAACGAAAUCCCUCAUAACUUAGAGAUUGUUCUGAAGUGAGUGUUUCUGCAACAAACUGUUUGUCUGCCAUCAGACAGAUCGAGCCAGUGCUGUGCACAUCAGUUUAAAUACAAUGUAUGUACAUUGUGUAAUAAAAUAUUUGCGUCGA